Non-coding RNA from Ciona intestinalis (vase tunicate), 912 nucleotides. NCBI's taxonomy places the organism in Eukaryota, Metazoa, Chordata, Ascidiacea, Phlebobranchia, Cionidae. The record is from RefSeq and is a predicted model, not a curated record.
GCAGGUUAGAUGAAGUUAGUUCUGCAUCAGAAUUGGAUUAUUUGUUCCAGGACUUUCAAGUUAAGUUUAUUUAACUAGCUAACUGACUGAAUAGUUCUGUGUUAGUUAUUAUUAUUUCUGACUAUACUAUGGUAUAUACACUAACAUUGCAAUUAUUCUAGAAGUUUAAGAUUGUUAUAUUUUUGAUAGUAAUGUGCCUUGCGUUUUAACGUUAUUAUUUUCCAAUUAAUUAAUUCUUAAAACUUCAAAUUUAUUUUCAGGAAUAGGGGCGAGCAUUCUGUAUUACGUCACUAUAUAGAAACGUCACUCGCGAUAUUACAUCGGUUUAUACGCAAUCGCUUUUUCGUUACGUCACAAUCGUUUCGCAAAUUCGCUGCGUAGUUACACGCCUGAAUGACGUCAACCGCGAUUCGCAGCUUUCGUUACGUCAUAAUCGUUGCGCAAAUAUUUGCUACGUCGUUACACGCCUAAUGACGUCAUAACCGCGACGCGCACGAUAAUUGCGUCAUAGUUCAGUCCUCGCAAGAUUUGUUUUCCCUUCACAACGCGGUUUCUUCUGCGCAUGCGUUUUGCGUCGUUUCAUGCGGCCCAUGCGCCCCAUGCGCGUUUGGCGUCGUGCGCGAGGCACUUUACUAGUAUUUUCUAACAUAUGUUUAAACUUUUGCGUUUUGUGCCCGGAAGUUGAAAGAAGAUGAAAGAAUCAGUUAAGUUUUAAACCACAAUAGGCAUUGUUACGUAACACAUGCUGUUUUCUAGAAACAUCGAUGAUGUGACGUCACGAAGUGGUGACGACGCAACAGAAGAAUCCACUUCAACUCGGUAUGUGACUUCACUCAGGAUCAAGCUGUUCAUCAUGCGCAAAUUCGGAAUAAAAAAAACUCCGCGAUUAUUUCUUCAGAAGAAAAGCACAAG